Molecule: ribosomal RNA, 497 nt
Filed under: uncultured bacterium
Lineage: Bacteria
Description: partial 16S ribosomal RNA
Rfam family: Bacterial small subunit ribosomal RNA
Source: RNAcentral
GAUGAACGCUGGCGGCGUGCCUAAUACAUGCAAGUCGAGCGAACAGACGAGGAGCUUGCUCCUCUGACGUUAGCGGCGGACGGGUGAGUAACACGUGGAUAACCUACCUAUAAGACUGGGAUAACUUCGGGAAACCGGAGCUAAUACCGGAUAAUAUAUUGAACCGCAUGGUUCAAUAGUGAAAGACGGUUUUGCUGUAACUUCUAGAUGGAUCCGCGCCGCAUUAGCUAGUUGGUAAGGUAACGGCUUACCAAGGCAACGAUGCGUAGCCGACCUGAGAGGGUGAUCGGCCACACUGGAACUGAGACACGGUCCAGACUCCUACGGGAGGCAGCAGUAGGGAAUCGUCCGCAAUGGGCGAAAGCCUGACGGAGCAACGCCGCGUGAGUGAUGAAGGUCUUCGGAUCGUAAUACUCUGUUAUUAGGGAAGAACAAAUGUGUAAGUAACUAUGCACGUCUUGACGGUACCUAAUCAGAAAGCCACGGCUAACUACGUG